Molecule: ribosomal RNA, 253 nt
Filed under: uncultured bacterium
Lineage: Bacteria
Description: partial 16S ribosomal RNA
Rfam family: Bacterial small subunit ribosomal RNA
Source: RNAcentral
UACGUAGGGGGCAAGCGUUGUCCGGAUUUAUUGGGCGUAAAGAGCUCGUAGGCGGCUUGUUGCGUCGACUGUGAGAACCUGCGGCUCAACCCCAGGCGUGCACCCGAUACUCCCGGGCUGGAGGCAGGUAGGGGAGAUCGGAAUUCCUGGUGUAGCGGUGAAAUGCGCAGAUAUCAGGAGGAACACCGGUGGCGAAGGCGGGUCUCUGGGCAACAACUGACGCUGAGGAGCGAAAGCGUGGGGAGCGAACAGG